RNAcentral lists this ribosomal RNA (492 nucleotides) under uncultured bacterium. RNAcentral's name for it is "partial 16S ribosomal RNA". It matches the Rfam family "Bacterial small subunit ribosomal RNA", at positions 29 to 507 of the family's 1533-position model. The record is from RNAcentral.
AGUGAACGCUGGCGGUAGGCCUAACACAUGCAAGUCGAACGGCAGCACAGUAAGAGCUUGCUCUUACGGGUGGCGAGUGGCGGACGGGUGAGGAAUACAUCGGAAUCUACUUUUUCGUGGGGGAUAACGUAGGGAAACUUACGCUAAUACCACAUACGACCUACGGGUGAAAGCAGGGGAUCUUCGGACCUUGCGCGAUUGAAUGAGCCGAUGUCGGAUUAGCUAGUUGGCGGGGUAAAGGCCCACCAAGGCGACGAUCCGUAGCUGGUCUGAGAGGAUGAUCAGCCACACUGGAACUGAGACACGGUCCAGACUCCUACGGGAGGCAGCAGUGGGGAAUAUUGGACAAUGGGCGCAAGCCUGAUCCAGCCAUACCGCGUGGGUGAAGAAGGCCUUCGGGUUGUAAAGCCCUCUUGUUGGGAAAGAAAAGCAGCAGGUUAAUACCCCGCUGUUCUGACGGUACCCAAAGAAUAAGCACCGGCUAACUUCGUG